ACAACAGCAUCAAGUAAUGGUUGAACGCCCUUAUUUUUGAAAGCUGAACCACAUAACACAGGGACAAAACUGCCAGCAAUGGUUCCUUUCCGGAUUAAUUUUUUGAUGGUUUCUUCGUCUGGCUCAUUUCCUUCCAGAUAGCUUUCCAUAGCUUCAUCAUCCAAUUCAACAAUGGUUUCUAUCAUCUGUGACCGGUAUUCUUGAGCCAUUUUCUGAAGAUCAGCUGGUAUAUCCUCGUAAGCAAACUUUGCACCCAAUUCCUCUCCUGACCAUAUUAUAGCUUUCAUCUUCACAAGAUCAACAACUCCCUUAAAGUUAUCUUCUGCACCAACAGGCAAUUGAACUACAAGUGGUUUAGCUCCCAAGUUUGUAACUAUCAUAUCUCUUGUGCGGAAAAAGUUUGCUCCCAAACGAUCCAUCUUGUUGACAAAGCAGAUUCUGGGAACUCCAUACUUGUCAGCUUGCCUCCACACAGUUUCAGAUUGAGGCUCCACACCAGCAACACUGUCAAACAAGCAGAUAGCACCAUCCAGAACCCUGAGAGCACGCUCCACUUCAAGUGUGAAGUCAACAUGGCCAGGAGUAUCAAUGAUGUUAAUCCGGUGUUUGUUCCAAUAUGCAGUAGUUGCAGCAGAAGUAAUGGUAAUCCCUCUCUCUUGCUCUUGUUCCAUCCAGUCCAUUGUAGCUGUUCCCUCAUGUACCUCCCCAAUUUUAUAGUUUCUUCCUGUAUAGAAUAGGACUCGUUCAGUUGUAGUAGUCUUCCCUGCAUCUAUGUGAGCCAUUAUACCAAUAUUCCGAUAAUCUUUCAAGGGGAUCACACGUUUUGACUCUGCAAAAAAGAUAAAUGAAAUCCACUUCUGCCGUUAGCCUAAACCCAGAAACCAAAACAACCAUCAAAAUAAAAACUCAUCCUCUUACAAGCAAACAUUAAAGUAAGAAUCCAAAAAUAACACUGUUGCAGAAGAAUAAAGAUCAAAAUUUUCAAUACCAUAAUGACGCCUUUGCUUUUCCAUGAUAGAUAAGGCCAUAUAAUAUCAACAAAAGAAUCCGGUACUCCAAAGUAAGAUGAAUGCAUAUUACUUGUGUUACAACUAUUCAUCGCAAUAAUUUCCCAGUUUCACAAAACGUAAUUCUGAAUACCACCUUCUACUUCUCCAACUUUUAUAUCGUUUAAACCCUGAGUAACAUUAUUAUUUUUUAGACUAAUGAAUAUAUUACAGCCAAAUUUUCCAAAAUAAAUUAAAAACUCGUCUUCAAUACCAUUAAGAUAGUGUACAAAAAAAAGAAAAAAAGAAAAGAAAUUUUGCGGUGAAACUUGAAGAAUUAAAUAAAGGGUAUACCGAAAUUAAUCCAAAGAAAGGAAAUUGAUCUAACGAAGCAAUAAUUAACACCGAUUUAAGGGAAAGAGAGGAACCUUCAGCGGCCAUAGCAAAAACAGAGAAUUGUCUUCUGCUUCUGGGAGAGAGCUUGGAAGUAGAACGGGGGCUGAAGACACACACGCUUCCCAAGAAAUGGGAAGCUGGAGAAGGGAGGAGACCCAGAGAGCGAGGGACAGUCACAGGCACAGGCACAGGCCUCCUUUGAGAGCCAUUCAUAGCGAAGUUGCAUACUGCCGAUGAACAUGAAGCCGUUAUCAUUCUCUCUGCUGCCAUGUUUAGUUUUUCACUUUAACACCAGUGGACUCAACUGUGAACUGUUAAGUGACGGAGUCUCACUGGCCACUCGCCAGGGAUAAAAGAUAAAGUAAGCGGUUGUAAUUCAGUUCUGGUUUUGGUUAUGUUCUCUUCUCUUCUCUUCUUCACUUCACCCUUUAAGGCUAACACUUGAGCGAGGCCUAUCUUUUGUUGUUUUCUUCAAGUGGCCUGUGCGCUUGGAAAAUUAAGAGCCAUUUAUAUGAAACAUUUAUUUUUUUAUUUUCAUAUUUUCGAUAAUUGAUUUCUGAUUUAUUUUCUGGUAUUGAAAAGAUUAUUAUUGUUUUUAAUUUAAUUUUUAAAACAUAGUGAAAAGUAAAGGUAUAUCCUUUAAAAAUUAAUAUUCAAUUAACAAAAAAAAUUUCUAAUCGUUUUGCAUCUUUCUAAUAAUAAUACAUUUUCUUUUCUCUUGCUUUAUCAUAAUAAUCUUCAGCAAAUUACAUAUUUGUACAAGUACGCAGCCUCCUCAAGUAUAAGGUUCGAAAUUUUGAAUUGAAAAUUGUUUUUAAGGAAUGAAUUGAAAAUAAUGAUAAUAAGGGUUUAUUACAUUAAUAACAGGAUCCGGCUAUAUUGCAGCUGUGGUAUUAUACUACAGUUACAACUAACCAUUUGAUCCACUUAAAUGAGGGUAUAACAUUAAAUUUAAGUGGAUCCAAUAACUGAUUACAAUUAUAAUACUAUACCAUAAUUGUAACAUAGCCAAUUCCUUAAUAAUGUGAAAGACAGCCAAAAUGCAAAGAAGAAAAUGGGAUAUAAGGGCUGAAAAGCUGCCACAUAACUAGAAUUCAUGUCCUCAUAUUUUACUUGAGAGAGGUGGGACAGUGGCAUGUACAGGAGAUGAAACUGAAUAGACAUAUUGCUGCUUGUGAGCCUAUCCAAUCAUGAAGCUGGGAUUUCAUGCACGUGUGGAUGAAUGCACACGAUUCACGAACUGAAAUUUUCGGUGAUGAGGGACCCGGCACAUGCGGUCUGGGUAAAACCCGGCCCGCAUGCAUGAAAAAAGCGGAUCCGGGCAUUGAUUUUCAAUGCCCGGCUGUUUCCGGGCACGGGUCCGGUCACAGCACCAAGUACCCGGCACCCGGACCCGUGCCCGCUUUUUAUUAAGUAAAAAAAAAAAAGAGGAAAAUAUAAAAACCAAAAUUGCAUUUUUCCUUUACCCAAUUUCCCCCAAAGUCCCAAACCCAACCGGCCAACCAGUGAACCAACCCUAAAUCGCGAAUUUGAGACAAAUCUCAGAAAUCAGAAUCGGCACCUCCUCCCUUCGUCUCUCCACCAUUACCGGCAGCCACCACCUAUCCUUCACCGAUGGCGAUGCAGUAUUGACAGUUGACCGCGCCUCUCCCUCCACGAACCGCAAAGCACAGUCGUCACUCGUCAGUCCGUCAAAGAGCUCUUCACUGUUUGGUCAGCUUCUUAGCGGCAGCCACCGCGCGACGGAGUUCGCCACCAAAGCUGGUCUCACACUCUCCCUCCAUUGUUUUGUCACCAUAUCAGCUGCAAGCUUGUAACCCACAGCCACGACCCACAAGGUAAUUUUUUUUUUGGCUGUUUUUUCAAUAAAAAAUGUUUCUGUGUUGUGGCUUAGCCAUUAUUGUUACUAAGUGGUAAAGCUAACAUCAACCGACGCCACAGGAGGUUGAUUGAAAGAUAAUGCUAAAUCAUAAUGACCCACAAUGAGAAAAUCUUCUAAUUAAGCUAGACCUCCCCCCGUUUCUUCAUCAUUUUUAUGUGCCUUUGAGUUGAGAGUUAGGUCUGUGGAAUUUAUGAACAAAAAAUGUGUGUAAAGCAUCAUAUUGCACAAUGGCAAUGUAGAAAGCUAAGACUUCCUGCCGAAAUUAGGAAUCUUAUUGGCGCCACAAUUAAUAGGGUGCCUUGGUUUGGUGCAUGAGCCACUCUUUUUGAAGUUUUAAAUGCUGAAUUUCGGUUGACGAAAUGUCAAGGUUAGCGGCACAUGGGUCUGUUUGAUCAACAAUGAGACCUAUGGCAGCCCCUGAUCAUUGAUCAGGACACAUGGGUUCCAGAUAUAACUGGAAAAAAAAUUAAUCACUUAGAUGAAUGUGAAGCAUAUGCUUUCAAUAUAUGCUUAAUUAGUUUCUUGGAUGCUGGAAGUGUUUACGUUGUUAAUGGCUGCACAGAACAUAAUAAGAAAGAGCUAAUGUUAAACACCCUCAUUAUGCUGUUGUAGUAGUUUUUCUAUUUCAUAUGUGUGUUUUGUUUGGAAUAUGUUUGAUCUUAUUUAUCUGCAAACUGCAAUCAUUUUGAUAUAGCUCACAGUUCUCAAUUUACAGCUGAUCAAUUGAACAAUUUCUGGCAUUAAGAAAGAAUUGGCUCACAUUAAGAAUUUCUGUAAAAUGGGAAAUGCAAUUGCUCCAGAAAUUUCUCAGUUGUUUAUUUAUUUAUAUGUCUGGUCUUUCUUCUGUGCACAUAAGCUUUGUCAUGAUUUAGUGAAAGAAUAUGAAAUGAAAGCUGUGGUUUUGAGUGAUAGGUAGGAUGUUGGGUUGGAAGAUGUUCCUUCGGAAUCUUCUUUGAAUCCGAAUAAGUAUUGGGAUGUAGAUGAGUUUGAAACAUUUCGGAGUCGAAAUAAGCGUGUUAAGGUGACUAAGUCAGAGUUGGAUAGGUAUUUAGAUGAUGAAUUAUUGGAUACUAUUCCGAACUUUGAUAUUUUAGCUUUUUGGAAGAUGCACACAGGCCAAUAUCCUAUUUUGGGCGAGUUGGCUAAGGAUAUCUUAGCCAUUCCUGUAUCCAUUGUUGCCUCUGAGUCCGCUUUUAGUACCGGAGGCAGAUUUUUGAGUCCGCAUCGUAGUAGACUUCAUCCUAACACUUUGGAAUCCUUAAUGUGUGCUCAAAAUUGGAUUUGGGCUUCUUCUCGAGGUAUAAAGUUAUUUGAAUUAUGUUAUCGUAUUAUUUGUUUGCUCAAAAUGUUUUUAAAUCUUAAUCUGUUAUUUUUGUUAUUAGGUGAAGUUCCGGAAAAUGAGAUUUUUGCUGGGGAGGAGUUAAUUUCAGAUGAUGAUGAUGAUGAUGGGGCACAAUCGUCGAGCUGCUUGACAUAAUCUGUUAUUUUAAACUCUUUUAUGAAUUAUGUUUGUUUGAUAUUUUGGGAUUUUUAUUUGUUAUGUUGGUUAUUGAUAUUGGAGUUAUUAUGAUAUGUUUUAUGUAAUAUGUUGGGUGUUAGUAUGCUACAUUUAUUUAGAUUUAUUUGGUGAUUAUUGUGAUGUUCAAUUUAAAUUUUUGAUAGGGAUUGAAUGAAUUUAGUUUAGAAAUUGAAUAAAUUUAGGUAGUGGAUAAUAGAUUGAAAUGAUUUUUAUUUGUUAUUUACUUAAAUUUAUAAAGUAGAUUGAAAUUGAAAUAGUUAAGAUGUUGUAAUAAUUUAUUAUAGAAUUUUUUCCUUUUUUAAUUUUGAUAAUUCCGUUAGAUUUUGGACUGUUAUGGUUUGUUAGAAUUUAGAAGUAAAUAAUUAUUUUGACACCUUUUAUUUAUUCUUUUUUGGCGUGUGAUUUGCCUUUUAAUUUUUGUGUGUUGUGAGAAAUGAUGGUUUUUGCAAGUUGGGUUUGCAGUGAAUUUUGAAUCAAUAUGUAAUAUGUGCGUUUCUGAUUUUGUCCCAUAUAUUAUGACCACUCAAAGUCUCAAAUUCAUCACCAUUCACCACUCAAAUCCGGGUAGGGAAAACCCGGAAAAAACCCGUGCCCGGAUAGUGCCGGGUAUGUGCCCAGCCCGCAUAGAAAAAUUCCGGGCACGGUGCGGGUCCGGGUAGCUACAUUUGAUAUCCGGGUCGGUCCCGGGCAGCCCCAAACCCGGACCCGACCCGGACUUUUGCCAUCUCUAGUGAUGAGGCGGGUCGAUCUCGGACAUCACUUGAAAAAUCCAAAUUUAAUUCGAAAUCUGAAUUUUAUUAAAAAUAUAUUAUGAAAUAUAUAUUAUUUUAAGUAAUUUUGUUUAUUUGAUCCAUCUAAUAUAUAUAUUUAAAAUUUUAAACAUUUAAAAUUUAUAUUUUUAUGUCUAGUUUUAUUAAAAUAAAUUUAGAAAUUAUGAAACUAUAAGAUAAAUAAAAAAAAGGUUAUUUUCUGUCAGCCCGUACAUAUUUCAACAAAAGUUGGCGUGCACCCUAAUGUUUCAACAUCCAUCACCACGCCCCCAAAUCAGCAUAUCCAAUUGUUAUCUUUCACGGUAGUAGGGCAAAAUUAAGAUUUGACAUUUUUUUUCAGUCUUUAUAUUACUCUCUUCAAUAGUGAAGAGAGUUUCUUCUUCCUAACAAGCUUGUGUGUGUUUUUUGUGUUACACUCUUGUAAAAAUAUAGUUCUAUUGAGAGUAGUUGCAGCCUCCUAAUAAUUCAUAAUUCUUUCUAAAAACUUGCAGAUUAUCCCAAGAUGGUGGCUGAAGCGAAGUUAGUGGCUGAAGAAUUGGGAAUUGAUUCUCUCUGUGAUGAAAUCUCAUUCAGGGUUGCUACCAAAAAAGACGAGAAGAGAAUCCACUUGUCUCUGGAUAGUGAAGAUGCAAUACCUGGUAAUGGGGACUGGUGUGGGAGAGUUUGGAUGCCAAAUCAGGUUCAUCCUUUUAUAGUGCAAAAGGAUCCUGAGGAACAAGAGCUAGAAAGGAGCUUUCAUGCUUGGACAACACCAGAUGAAAAUUUUGAAAGAAAACCAGAAAGUAUUUGCCAAACUCCCUCGACCUUGGUGACUAGAAAGUACAGUAGGAAGAGGAAAAUGGUAGCAGAGAGUGUGUCAACCAAAUGUAUCGAUACAGAAGAUGCAGCUUCAAAAUAUUCACUGGAGGGUGAUACUCGUCUCCAGCAAAGGAGGAUUCUUAGAAACAAUCCAGCCAAAUUAAUGGAAAAAGAAGAUGUGGACCUGCCCGAUUCAUCAGAAGUUAGUUCUUAUCAACAGAAGAGGAGUGUUUCUAGAAGAAAACAAGCCAAAUGUAUUCAGAGGGAAGUUGGAGAUUCAAAUGAUGCACUGCCAGGCAAUUCUCUUAAACAGUAUAGGAGGAUUCCUAAGAGGAAGCAUGCCAAAUGUAUUGGUAGGGAAGAUGCAGUUUUGGAUGAUUUACCUAAUGAUAGCUCCCUUAAGCAGUACAAGAGGAUUCCUAGGAGCAAGCUAGCCAAACAUGUUUCCAGAGAGGAUGAAGUUUCAGAUAAUUCACUGCGAGGUGCUUCUGAUAGGCAGCAUACAAGCAUUCCAAAAGGCAAGGAAUUCACAUGCAUUGAUAGAGGCGAUGCAAUUGCAGAUGAUUCACUGCAGGAUAAUUCUCGUCAGUUGCAGUUUAACAGGGUUCCAAAAAGAAAGCAAGCUGAAUGGAUUAAGAGAGAAGAUGCAGCUUCUGAUGAUUCACUGGAGGAUUAUCCUCAUCGCUUGCAGCAUAAAAAAAUUCCAAAUAUCAAGCAACCCAAAUGUAUCAAGAAACUCUCAUCACUACGGAAUAGAGUAAUAUAAAGACUGAAAAAAUAAAAAGAUAAAAAUAAAAUGUCAAAUCUCAAUUUUGCCCUACUACCGUGAAAGAUAACGGUUGGAUAUGCUGAUUUGGGGUGUGGUGAUGGUUGUUGAAACAUUAGGGUGCACGCCAACUUUUGUCGAAACAUAUGGGGCUGACGGAAAAUAACCCAUAAAAAAAAUACAUAUAAUUUUAUAUCAUAAAAUAUAAAAUCCAAAUUUCAAAAGUCUGGAUUUAAAAACCCGGUCCAGUACCAGGCUUUUUAAGCUUGCCCAAGCGUCUAAAGGAAGAUACCCAGGCUAGGUUUUGCUAUCUCUACCUAAAACUGCUAAAAAAUAGAAUCUAUCAUCCACUGCAAAUACAAUUCUGAAAUCAGUGGUUCGGUUCCUAAAAAACGAAGGCCUUCGAAAUCCAUUGAUAUAACGAUAUUUAGACUUCGGGCUUACUAUACCUUUACAAAAUAAAGCGUUAUUUUGGGUCUACGCCGAUUUGUUUCAAGAGUAAUACUUUCUACACCCCUUUACAUCCUUAUAUUGCCCACUUUUGUAGUCAUAGUUUUACUAUUAAGUUGGACUAUUGACACCCCUUCAUUGAUCUUAUAAAAUUCUUGUGAUAUUAUAAUUAUAUUUAAGGACAAAUAUAAAUAGAACUAGUCCCAUUUAUAUUUUCUUUCUCUCUUCAAUUUCAUUUUACUUGCACAAUAUAAAUUUUUGUAAUCAUUAAAAUAAUAUGAAUUUAAAAAUCAAUCUAUAAAUGUUUUUUAAUCAUUAAAGUAAUCUAAAUUUAAGAAGUAAUUUUUUUAAACCAAAAUAAUACUCUUGUAAAUAUGUAGCAACAAAAUUAGGAUACAACGUUGUGAGAAAAUCAAUUAAAUAAAAUUUUAUCUUACUACAAAUAACUUUUAAAGGAUUCUCAAAUUAAUUGUUACACUCAAAAUUUAUAUGUACGAUAAAAUUGUGUUGGAUCCAUAAAAUAUUCAAUAUUUAUAAGGUUUUUCUUACUUUUUUUUAGAUUUUUUUAGAAAUUAAAUAAUAAAUCAAGUUUGAAGAGAAGAAUGCAAUUAUUAAGACUGAAAAAGUGAGAAAAUUAUUAGAAAUUGUAAGAUUUAUAAAUAAAAAUAGUGUUUAUUUAGAAAAAGGGUACUUUUGACAUUAAAUGAAAUAUAAUUGAAAAGGGGGUUUCAAAAGAAUUUUGGAGGGGUGAUAAUAGUCCGACUCUUUACUAUUACCAUAAACUAUACAAGUGUGGAUCUAUUUGAACCCAUUAAAUUCCUCACUACACCUUUUUUUUAAUUAAAAUUUUUAUUAUGAGAAUAUAAUUUGAUCAACUACUUAUAUGACUUUAUUCUCUUUCUCUCCGCCUUCUUUCUUUUAUCAAAAUUUAUCAUGAUAUAUGAAGUAAAUAUUGUAUUUAACAAACAAAAUUAUUCAAAAAUUUAGCAAAAUUAGUCCUAUUGUAAUCCAAACAAAAUGAAAGAAUCAAUACCCAUCAUGAAAAAUUAAAAAUAAAAGUUCUUGUACCAUUUGGAUCUAUUAGAAUUUUUUAAAUUAAAUCUCGUAAGCACAAACUCUAAGUGAUAAUAAUGGGUAAAGAAUGGUAAUGCUAUAGCGAAAACUAAGAGAAAGAUAAAGUUGAUUUAGUAAAAAAUAAUUAAAGAAAAAUUAAAAGAGGAAAACUAUUUUAGGUUUUAACCAUUAUAAAAGCAGAGAGAGAAACUAGUUAACCAAUGGUAAUUUUAUAAUUUUUGAGAAUUAAUGAACUAAAUUAAGAAGUUAUAAUUUGAUAAUUAUUUUAAUUUUUAAAAAAUGGGUGUUGAAAGAAUGUUAAUGGGUUCAAAUAGUCCCACCCAUUAUACAAAAGAGCAAAUGUGAAUUUAAUUUAAUUAAAUAUCUUUACAAAUCAUGAACCCUAAAUAUUUUUUAUCCUAACAUAUGAUAUAAUUAUUUUUUUUAAAUCAAAAUAAUUUUAAAACGAUGAAGAAAUAAAUUAUCUAAUAACAAUAUUUUUAUUAUGAAAAAAUAUGUGUACAAAAUUUGUUCUAAAUGACAGUUAAAUUUAAUUAAAAUCUAUUGUAAUUUUAAGUUCUUUUUGUAAUUUUGCAAAAAAGAGGCAUACUUUAGUGAUAAAAAAAAAAAAAAAAAUUCAGAAGCACUAGCUUUUAGAUGGCCAUGAAAUUAUUGGAGCCUUGGGCCUCAAAGUGGAGGCCUAAAUUGAUUGAAACAAACCCAUCACCCAUGAACCCCACUUAUGCAUCGAAGUAUAACUACGACAUGUGCCCAAAAGAGAGCGCACUUUAUAAUGGUCAGGCCACGAGCCUCUUACUAAAAAAGAGUAGCAGCCACUUGGGCUUGUAGUCCAGUGGUGGAUCAUUGCCCUCAAAGUUAAGUAUGAUUAUGAGGGUAAUGGUUUGAGUCCUCACGGACUCAAUCUCCUUCAAUUAAAUAUAAUUGUGUGGAGAUUUCUUAUAACGUCUUUCUCCCUUGCGAAAUACGAGUGGAGUAGAGACAUCCCUCCUCUGUGAGGGGUAUUUGGAUGGGCAUGUACUUCAUAGAAUAAAAAUGUAAUAAUAUAAGUCUCAUGUAUAAAUAUCUGAUUGUAAAUAUCAGUGUAAUAACCUACUAUCAUAGUAGUUGUAUAUAUCUAUGUGUAAUACAGUAACAUGAUGCUUAAUCAGUUUAAAAAAAAAAAAAAAUAGCGGGCCAACUCCAACCCAUAUAGCACGUCAUAAUGCCAGAAACACACUAAUAAUAAUGGAAUGCAAACAGCUUUCCGGCUUCCCCUUUCGCAGAAUUGAAAUUAUACAAGCCUAAUAAGGGCCCAGCGUCCCAGAACUAGAUGAAUUAGAUAGGAAGGCAUGUGACUAUCUUACCGCAAGAGUUGCAGAAUACCUCUUUUUCUGGCUUCCAUUGUGAUAAGUAGGGUCCUGGGAUAUAUGAAUUAUAAGAGUUACACUUUCCAAAAUGGGAACGGAAUUGCACGUGGGUUCUUCGCAUUGAUGUGAUCAAGCUGAUUAUGUAAUGGAUUUCUUAGUAAAUAUUUGGUGCAUUAAUCUCAAUUCAAGUGGCUGAAAUCAAAUGCAGCCCUAUGUCUAAUACUAAAUAAUGAGACGAAAUUGAGCUCCCAUUGUGACACAUAUAUAGCACAAUGUCACAAACCGGCCUAUUCAAUUGUUCCAGCAUUUGAUAAUGAAUUUUGCACCAAGGAAAGGCUUCGCAGAGAUCAUUUGCUACCCUCGACAUCUUGUCACGGCUAAAUUUCUUCCAUUUAGUUUAAUAACCAUCAAGUUUACUCAAUAUUUUCACAUUAUAGACCGUCAUGAACAAACUGUCGAUGAAACAAAACAUAGCACUUCAUUUGCAUCUUUAGUUUACUAGUAGACAAUACAGAAUCACAUAUAUGCAUUAAUACAUCCAAGCCCCCACAUGCAUCCAUUUCAAUAAUUAUUGAGCAGGCGCAAACAAAAGAGGGAUUAGUUACCAAUUGCAAGCUAAAGGCAGUACUAAAAUGGCAUAAUACAGCUCCAGAAUGAGCAAUGGCUAAAUGCCUAGCUAAAAUCUCACUUAGGUGAGGUAAUUGAGGCAUAACUGUUAACCAGAGCUAAACCAUUGCUGGUCAAAUGUGCAACGUUUGAAAUCUGUCUCCGUACAGUAGCCUUAACAUUCCCAUUCAUGGAUUUCCUAGAAAAGCCAUCCAUGCAAGUAUCCUCAUUCGUUAAUGCAGCACUCACCCAUGUUUGUACAUUAUUCAUUUGGAGGGCAAAAUUACUGCGCUCAUUACGUCCCAUUUCACUGAUUGAAUUUUGGAGCUCAUCAACUGCGUCCCUCAACUGAUCAACGCAAUCGUACAAGGCUGCAGCUUCUCUAGGAUUUAAGCCCUGGCUUUUGGACAGUUUGGUCAUUGUUGUUGAAGUAGCAAGCGCAGUUUUAAGCGCCACGGAGAGGGCUGUGCUGGCUAAUAAUUUGGGGCUCGCCUGGAUUUUGGUUGCAUAUCCGGAAAGAGUGGUGAUGCACAAGUCAGGGUAAGUUGUGACACGGCAUGAGGUUUUGAUGAACUGGGUGUUUGUUUCACUCUGAACCGGCCUAGCCGCUGAGCAGUAAGUGUUCAUGUAAGUUGCAAAUUGAAUGAAGAUGAGAAGAGUUAGUGCGUGGGAAAAGGGUGAGCCUUUCAUGUUUGCUCUGUGUGUGUGUUUUGUAGCUGGAGAGUGUGAUAAAUACACUAAGUGCAGGGAGAGAUCUUUGAAUUAUAUAGAAAAAGCUCGUGGUAUUGUGGUUGCCACAAAAUAAUAUGAUCUUUAUAAAGAAAGGGUAAUGAAUUUUUUUUUUAUCUCUCUUUAAAUAAGGAAACAGUUUGACCUAAAAAUUUAAACUGAUAAAUAAAAAUUUAGUAAUAACAUUUAAUAAAAAUUUUAAUAGUUUUUUUUAUAUGAAAUGUGGAUUAAGACAUAAGCUCGUAAAUGGGCUGAAAGACAAGAGUCCAAAAGAAAUAAUUAAAAAAAUUUACAUCCAAGAGUAAUCAAAUUUAAAAGUCAGACUCCUAAUAUCAUGUAAAAAAAUCCACUUAAAAGUUUAAAUUCAUAAGGGAAGACAAGUAUAAAGACUCUACUCUCUAACAAAGUUCAGCCUUAGAAAAUUUAUGGGAAUGGCUACCUUUGCUUUUCAUAGACACCUAAAUUAUUGGAGCCAAAGAGCCACUCCAUGUCCGGGAAGUGGUUUUUAUGGAGUAUAAAGUUAAAGAAAAGCCUAUAGCCAAUAACAUGGGCGCAGAAAAUGGCACAUAUCAUCAAAGUGGGAUACUGGAUUGGAUCAAAGGGCAUCUUAAGAAAAGAACCUAUAGUGAACUGUCUAAUAAUUUCUGCGGACUUAUUACUUCAAAUGAAGGGAGGUAGGGCUGCAGUUUGCUCAACAAAGACUGCUGUUAACGUAGGCCUCGAGUUUUCCACGACUAGCACUCUUUGGCUUCCAUUGUGAUUGUGAUAUGCGGGGUCUCAGGAACGUGUUUUGAGUUCAUUUCUGUAAAUAAAUAAUUCCGAAUACUUCUUAGUUACGCUGAUUUUGAACCUAAUAGCUAUUAAAUAAAAAUGAAAUAUUUGGGGCGUCAAAUGCAUGAUUAAUGUCACUACCAAGCACUUUAGAAUGUAAUACUUAAAAAUAAUAAUAAUAAUAUAAAGGCCGAAGGGCAACAUUUACCAGCGGGCCAAUUGUCAGUGACAUAGAUCUUCUGUAUAUAGUGUUGUGGUCGACCCCACCCCCCAGAAAAAAAAAACAUAAAAACUGAAAAUGCACACACACUACAUCCCCACAAACUUAAGGGCAAAUAAUUAAGACCAACCCAAACUAGAUACAAAUCCAUUUCAUGGUUGAUGCAAAUAUUGCAAAUCCAACUCAAAAUCAAUUUCCUUAAGGAAAGAAUUAUCAGCCCAGAAGCAAAAUGAUUCAGACCAAGAAUUUGCAGACAAGAGCUUACUACAUAACGACUGCAUACAUAUCUAUUGAAUUGCUAGCUACGAAAUUAAUUAAGCUGAAGUCUCACUUAAUUAAGGCGACGUGGUAUGGUUGGCAGUGGCAGCAUAUCUGUUAAUAUUCCCAUUAAAGCCAUUUGAACAGGUAGCUCGUUCGUCAAGGCAGCACUCACUCACAUGUUUGCACAUCACUCAUUCUGAGCUCAAAACUUUUCCGUCCAGCAGAAUCCAUUUUCAGCUCAUCCACCCAGUCGCUCAACUGUCCGACGCCAAUCACGCAUGGCUGCUGCGACUCUGGGACUCAAUCCACGUGCUCUUGGACAGUUUUUUCAUCAGGGCUAUAGUAGACUGAGUGGUUUUAGUGAAACAGACGGGCUGUGAUGGCUAAAAGCCUGCGGCUAGAUUGGAUUUUGGUUGCGUAAAUUAUAAGCAAGCUGAAGCGCAAGUCGGGGUAUGUAAUUGCACCACAUGCAAUUUUGAUUGGGCAUUGGCUUACCAGCUGAGCAAUACGAGUUGACGUAAGCUGCAACUUGAACAAGUAUGAUCAAAGUUGCUAGGCCAUUGAAAAUGUAUGAAUUUGUUAUGGUUGGCAGUGGCAUCUCUCUCCCUUGCUUUAACUUAAUUAAGCUCUCUCUUUGUUUGUUUUUUUUUUUUUUAAUAAUGACGUGACAAACUGAUUAAGGUCUCAAUUUAUGGAAAUUCAGAUAAAGUUUGGGUUCAUCAACAAAAGCAGUACAUUUAAAAUAUCUUCACAAAUAAAAAUUUAGUAAUAACAUUUAAUAAAAAUUUUAAUAGUUUUUUUUAUAUGAAAUGUGGAUUAAGACAUAAGCUCGUAAAUGGGCUGAAAGACAAGAGUCCAAAAGAAAUAAUUAAAAAAAUUUACAUCCAAGAGUAAUCAAAUUUAAAAGUCAGACUCCUAAUAUCAUGUAAAAAAAUCCACUUAAAAGUUUAAAUUCAUAAGGGAAGACAAGUAUAAAGACUCUACUCUCUAACAAAGUUCAGCCUUAGAAAAUUUAUGGGAAUGGCUACCUUUGCUUUUCAUAGACACCUAAAUUAUUGGAGCCAAAGAGCCACUCCAUGUCCGGGAAGUGGUUUUUAUGGAGUAUAAAGUUAAAGAAAAGCCUAUAGCCAAUAACAUGGGCGCAGAAAAUGGCACAUAUCAUCAAAGUGGGAUACUGGAUUGGAUCAAAGGGCAUCUUAAGAAAAGAACCUAUAGUGAACUGUCUAAUAAUUUCUGCGGACUUAUUACUUCAAAUGAAGGGAGGUAGGGCUGCAGUUUGCUCAACAAAGACUGCUGUUAACGUAGGCCUCGAGUUUUCCACGACUAGCACUCUUUGGCUUCCAUUGUGAUUGUGAUAUGCGGGGUCUCAGGAACGUGUUUUGAGUUCAUUUCUGUAAAUAAAUAAUUCCGAAUACUUCUUAGUUACGCUGAUUUUGAACCUAAUAGCUAUUAAAUAAAAAUGAAAUAUUUGGGGCGUCAAAUGCAUGAUUAAUGUCACUACCAAGCACUUUAGAAUGUAAUACUUAAAAAUAAUAAUAAUAAUAUAAAGGCCGAAGGGCAACAUUUACCAGCGGGCCAAUUGUCAGUGACAUAGAUCUUCUGUAUAUAGUGUUGUGGUCGACCCCACCCCCCAGAAAAAAAAAACAUAAAAACUGAAAAUGCACACACACUACAUCCCCACAAACUUAAGGGCAAAUAAUUAAGACCAACCCAAACUAGAUACAAAUCCAUUUCAUGGUUGAUGCAAAUAUUGCAAAUCCAACUCAAAAUCAAUUUCCUUAAGGAAAGAAUUAUCAGCCCAGAAGCAAAAUGAUUCAGACCAAGAAUUUGCAGACAAGAGCUUACUACAUAACGACUGCAUACAUAUCUAUUGAAUUGCUAGCUACGAAAUUAAUUAAGCUGAAGUCUCACUUAAUUAAGGCGACGUGGUAUGGUUGGCAGUGGCAGCAUAUCUGUUAAUAUUCCCAUUAAAGCCAUUUGAACAGGUAGCUCGUUCGUCAAGGCAGCACUCACUCACAUGUUUGCACAUCACUCAUUCUGAGCUCAAAACUUUUCCGUCCAGCAGAAUCCAUUUUCAGCUCAUCCACCCAGUCGCUCAACUGUCCGACGCCAAUCACGCAUGGCUGCUGCGACUCUGGGACUCAAUCCACGUGCUCUUGGACAGUUUUUUCAUCAGGGCUAUAGUAGACUGAGUGGUUUUAGUGAAACAGACGGGCUGUGAUGGCUAAAAGCCUGCGGCUAGAUUGGAUUUUGGUUGCGUAAAUUAUAAGCAAGCUGAAGCGCAAGUCGGGGUAUGUAAUUGCACCACAUGCAAUUUUGAUUGGGCAUUGGCUUACCAGCUGAGCAAUACGAGUUGACGUAAGCUGCAACUUGAACAAGUAUGAUCAAAGUUGCUAGGCCAUUGAAAAUGUAUGAAUUUGUUAUGGUUGGCAGUGGCAUCUCUCUCCCUUGCUUUAACUUAAUUAAGCUCUCUCUUUGUUUGUUUUUUUUUUUUUUAAUAAUGACGUGACAAACUGAUUAAGGUCUCAAUUUAUGGAAAUUCAGAUAAAGUUUGGGUUCAUCAACAAAAGCAGUACAUUUAAAAUAUCUUCACACAAUACCAACAAAGUGUUGGCUCCACUGGCAAUGGAGUCCCCUUAAGUGGCUUGACUGUGUUUGCUCCCCAGUUCGAGUUGCAGGGAAGUCGCAUUUGUUGGGAGAACCUGUGCCUCCCGGUUCGAGCGGGGACUUCUAGUCUGAGUUGUGGUACGGGCUUAAAGGUGCCUCCCACAGUUGGGGCCCUCCCCAGGAUACCUCGUGGAUAAGACAAAAAAAAAAAAAAAUAUCUUCACACAAUCAUUCACUUUAUUAGUGUAUUAUAUUUACAUUACACAUGUCGUUUUCAAAUAGUAACACUUUUAAUUUAUUGUUGAAAAUGUCAUGUGACAGGUUUCAUCAAGAGGUGGCCAGUGGAUCAGACGGCACGAGAUACGGUAUGGGUACGGCACGUGUUCGUAUAAUACGGUAUGGUACGAAUAUGUUUUGGUAGAGUACGCGGCACGGCGUGGCACGCACAUAGAUUGGGCCGAGUUUAAAUUUUAGGCACGUGGACCUUAAAAGCACAGCACGAUUAGAGAUGGACCAAAGCACGGCAUGAAAAAAAAGUACGUAAUAAACACAUUUUAUUUUUUAAUGAAAAUAAAUUUAAAAUUUUAUGAUUUUAUAAAUAACUUGAAAUUAAAUCUUUUAAUAUAUUUUAUUAGCUCAAGUUUUUUUAAUUUAUUUAAUUCUUAGUUUAAAAAAAAUUGAUUUAUGUUUAUAAUUUAUUAAAUAAAUAAUUGAUAUCAUAAUUUUAUAAAUGUGUAUUAAUAUUAUUAUAAACUAUGAUAUAUGACUCUACGUAAUUCCAAGUUAACAAUUAAGUUAACUCUUAAAAAAAAAAAUUAUUAUUGUUGUUGUUAAAUACUAAAAAAGAAUUCUAAUAUAGAGUCAAACUUAGUAAUUAAUAUUAUAUUAUCUUAUUACUAUUAAUUUAUUAUUAUUGAAUAUGAACUUGAGUUUUGAAUUUUUUUAUUCUAUUAAAUUUGAAUAAGGGUACAUAGAUCCAAAAAAAGUAUAUAAACUUAAAAAAAAUAAAAUAAUUUAACAUGCGCUCUUAAAAAAAAAAAAAAAAUUUAGUAUGUUUUUUUUUUCUUAAGCACAGUCCACGGCUAAGCACGUGUGGUGGGCCAGGCCUAAACAAAAAAAUAAACACGACAUGACACGGUACAAAAACGCAGAAUGAAUACAACACGACACAAGUAUGAACAGGCUCUUUUUUGAUGGGCAUGGGCCGGCGUGGCAUGAGCCGUUCGCCACCUCUAGUUUCAUCCACAUCCUUUUGGAAGAUACCAUCGAUCCAUUUGUAGAGGUUACGAAAGAAAAGAGAUACUUUAUGUUCCUGCAGUUUUGAGUGUAGGAUAUGUAUAAAAGUAAUUGCUGUUUUCAAUAAAUUAAUUUACUCCUGAGGAUUAAAAAUGUAUGAACUAAUGGUUAGAAAAAUACAACCCAAUCCUGCCACGUGCCAAAGCUUGAUUGCAUGUGAUGAUGGCGGGUUGGACAAUAAAAACAUAAAGAUGGUUAUACAAAUAUGUUCCGAUUAUGAAGGCGGGUUACCAUUCUCCACCUGGAUGGAAUACAGAAAUAAUCAUCAUCUCUUCCAAGUUCGAAGAAAAAGACGUAACAAGCGUCAACAAAGAGACGUAGCAAGCGUCAACAAGUCGCUCUGAUAAAAUAAAUGCUAUUACGACCACCUCAAUUGCAAUGCAGUUGGGGGGUCAUUGCUCGUCAAUCGAGCGAUAAAACUUAGAUUUACAUGAUUUGAUCUGUAGUAUGAGUGUCUAACUGAGGCUCAUUCAUUGAAUAGUGACACAAAACUAUAAAUUCUUGUAUAAAUUUAUAUUUAUAUAAAUUGAUAUAAAUUAAAUUUACUAAUUUAAUAAAAAUAUAAAAUAAUAAAAAUAAAUAAUAUAAGUUAGAAAUUAUUUAAUCCAACUAACUGAAUUAUAGGGAAAAUAUUCACUGUCCACCUAUUUUUUUUAAUUUUUUUAAAAAUACACAAUUCUUUUUUUUUUGUUGGAAUCCACUUAAAGUUACAUUUUGUUUCACUUUUUCACUUCCGUUUGGAAUCCAUUAAGGAAACUAACAGAAACUUAAAAAAAUGACCAUUUUACCCCCAAACAAAAAUUACAAUUUCACUCUAAAAAAUUCCAAAAAUAAUCAGAUUUAAUAAUGAAUAUCAUUAUUGGUACGUUAAUGAAGUACAAAAAAAUAUUAACUGCUAGAGAUUAUAAUUCAAUGAAUAAUAAAAUUCUAUUUAUCUUAAAUUCAAUUAAUAGUUUGUGAGAUUAGACUAUUUUUAAUACUACUGUUAUAAAUUAGCAUUCUAAUUACAUACAUAUUAAAAAAAAAACAUGCAUUUGAUGGUUGUGGAAUUAAUUUUUUAUUAACCGAAGGGGAAAAUAAUUAGAUUUAAUUUGAUUAUUUUUGGUAAUUUUUAGGGUGAAAUUGAAAUUUUCGUUUUAGGGGGUAAAAUAGUCAUUUUUUUAGGUUUCCGUUAGUUUUCUUAACGGAUUCCAAACGGAAGUGGAAAAGUGAAACAAAAUGUAACUUUAGGUAGAUUCCAGCAAAAAAAAAAAAAAUUGUGUAUUUUUGAAAAAGUUGAAAAAAAUGAGUGGACGGUGAAUAUUUUCUCUUGAAUUAUAUCAGAGUUGUAUAAAAAAAGUUUGUAAUUCUAUCUUUAUUUUUCAUUAGAAUUCUUGAUUUAUUGGGUUGACCAAACAUAACUUAUUUGGAAAAUCAAAUACUCUCAUAGAUCUCAUGCUAUUAUUUGAGAAUUAUCAUCCCCUCCCUUCAAACAUUUUCUGAUGGAAAUGAGGAAGAGACAGAGACAUAUACAAAAUAUUAAGGAUGAGAACGAGAAUGUUGAUCCCCUCCCUUCCCCUCUCCAUUGUCAUCCCUAUAUCCAGUCUAUCUCUAUCAAUAAAUAUUAUGAUUAGUUCUUAUGUGAAGAAGGAAAAAGAUUGCAAUUAUAUGUAAAAAGUUGGCUGGAGUCUUUAAUGUGAAUAAUUCUUAGGGUAGGACAAUUUGAACCCAUAAAAAUUCUUUCAACACCCACUUUUUUUAAUUAAAAUAAUUAUAAGUUAUAUCUUAUUGUUUUAAUUCAUUAAUUCUCAUAAAUUACAAAAUUACCCUUGAUCAAAUACUUUCUCUUAGAGCUGGCAAAACGGGUCAUCGGGUCGUGUUCGUGUCGUGUUAGCUUCGUGUCGUGUCAAAUUUAGGUCGACCCAAACCCGACCCAUUUAAUAAUCGUGUCAAAAUAUUGAGACCCAAACCCGACACGGAAAAAUAAUCGGGUUACCCAAUAACCCGUUUAAUAUCUAUAUAUUGAANNNNNNNNNNNNNNNNNNNNNNNNNNNNNNNNNNNNNNNNNNNNNNNNNNNNNNNNNUAUAUAUAAUAUUAUAUAUCAAUAUUAUAAAAUAUACAUGUCUAUCAAUUUUUACGCAUUUACAUUAUUGAAGCUCUAAAUGUAUGUAAAAUUUUAUAAAUAAAACAUUGUUUAUAUUCACCCUUUUAAAGAAUAAAAAAAAGAAAAUCAUCUCUAAUAUUUGAGUUUUAAUUAUAAGAAUAUGUAAAUUAUUUUAAAAUAGAAAAUAUAAUCGGGUCAUUGAUCGGGUAAAUGGGUCAAGAAUUUUAACCCAAACUCGACACGGAAAAAAUUCGUGUUGACCCGGACCCGACCCAUUUAAUAAUCGUGUUAAAUUUGACGACCCAUACCCAUUUAUUUAUGUCGUGUUCGUGUCGAGUAAUUGGGUCGUGUCAAAUUUUGCCAGCUCUACUUUCUCUCUCUACUAUAACAAUGUUCAAAACAUAAAAUAGUUUCACUUUAUUUCAAUUUUUUUUAAUUCUUUCUUAGUAAAUCAACUUAUCUUUUUCUUAGUUUUCUCUACAACAUGAUCAGUUUUUACCUAUUAUUACUAUUUAGAGGUUGUACUUCUAAGAUUUGACCCAAAAAAAAAAAAUUCUAAUAGAUUUAAAGUGACGUAGAAACCUCUAUUUUUUAUUUUUACAUGAUGGGUAUUGAUAUUUUCAUUUGGUCUAGAUUACAAUAGUGCUAAUUUGUUAAUUUUUGAAUAAUUUUAUCUGUUGAAUCUAAUAUUUACUUCAUAUAUCAUGAUGAAUUUUGAUAAGGAAAGGAGAUGGAGGGAGAGAGAAUGAGGUCAAAUAUGUAAUUGAUCAUAUUAUAUUUUUAGAAUGAAAAUUUUAAUUAAAAAAAGAGUGCGGUGAGGAAUUUAGUGGAUUCAAAUAGUCCCACUCUAACUCUAAUCUUAUUUUAAUUUGACAUUGAAAGAAAGUUAAUAAAUUACAUUUUAUGGGCCGAUUUGGUAAUAUUGUAACUUUUAAAAUAAUUGUCAUUAGUUGUACUGUAUAAAUAAUCAGUUAUAAAGAGAAUCUAUUAAACGUUUGACAAAAUUUAUUUUUAAAGAGCUGUAAGUUUUGAAAGAAAUUAUGUGUUUAGUAAAUUUGGUUGUUAAAUUGCUGUAAGAACACAAGUGAUUAAAAUAGACAUGAUAUUAAGUAAAUUUUACUUAGACAUUUACAAGCAUGCAUAUACAAUAUUUUAUUGUGUAUAUAUAUAAUAACUAAUAACUGAAAUAAAUAUUAUUAUUUAUUAAUUUUAAUUUUUUUUAUUUUACUAUGUAAUAUAUAAUUGGUAAUAAUAACAAUCUCUUUAAAUUUAAUAAUUUUAUUUCCUAAUUAAAUAAUGAUAAUUUUAUAUUUUUAUAAUAUAUGUGGUAAUAUAUAUGUAAUUGUAUUAAGUAUAAAAUUGAAUAUCAAAAUCAAAUUUUGAAAAAAUAUUCUUUCUUGUUUUUCAAAAUUAGUUGUAGGAUGGGAUGAUUUUACUAAAAGUAAUUUUUAAAAAAACUUAACAAACAUCAAAAUUAAUUUUUAACUUUUUAAAAUCACUUUUUGAGCCUCUAAAAAAUAAUCCCAAAUAGGCCUUUAAUACUAUUGUUAAAUGACACAAAAUCAAUACGAUUGAAAUGCGAAAAAUAAUCUAAAGUAAAAUGAAUGCUUGAAUAGGUUAAGAUCACAUUUGGUCAAUUUGUUUCAGCUUUCCAAUUUGUUAUACACGUUAUCACAUAACCUUACCUUACUUGCAUGCAAAAUUAAACUCUCGACCUUUUAUCCAUCAGAAUAGAAAAAUAUAAACAUGACAUAACAUCAUUAAAUUUGUACUACAAUAGAGAAAUUCUAGACUUUCUCUAAGUACAAAACUAAAAGUAAAUAAAAGUAUCAAGAAGAAAAUUCCUUCUACCUUAUUCUAUAAUAUGUAGAUGAUACAAAUGGGCAAUGCAGAAGGAAGAACCCCCAUUAGAUUAAAAGAUCAUUCAGUAACAAAUUUCCUACGAAGUGGCUUAACACUUAACAGCGGCAUUUUAUAAUUCAAUUUUUAUUGAAUUAUAAGCUUUGAUUUAUUAUAUCUUUCUCAAUAAUUCAUUUUCAUAUUCCUAAGAAACAAACUCUGUGAGUCAAAUAUAUAAGUUGAUUUGCUUUUGGCCAAGGCAUAGUUGUUGAUAAGAGCCAAAGCAUUAAUUACUUGUUAAAUGAGCAAAUUUGAUAAUGCGUUUCCGGAUAUUAGACUUCACCUUUGCAUUAAUUCAAGAUCGUCUCAGCAAAUGCAUCCAAGCAUGUGUUUCUUUUCCUCCAAUCCCGUGUAUAUCCAAGAUUGAAUAUAUCACCCAUUUGAAAUUAACCCGAAAUCUUAAUCUCACACGAUCCCGUUCCAACAUAGAUUUUUAUACUGAAUCAUUAAUAUCCGCACGGCAAUCUAGCAAUGUUGCCGUGGCAUUGUUGAAGGUGAAACUUCGAGUUUGGGAUUUUGAAUACACAGGGAGAUAUUUCCCCCUUACAAAAUUAAAUGUCGGGAAACUAAGCCUUCAUGGGCCUGAACCCAUACCCUCAACAUGGUUGAGAUACCCGGAUUAUCACUGGACAGCCUAGGGACAAGAGAGUCGAAUAUCGAUUAAUGCUUAGCAUGCAUUAAUAACUGGCUUGAAUUCAUAAGAAAGAGAGCUAAGAGGAAGAAGCCUGUAAUUGGUAAUAGGUUAUUUCAAAGCUUUAAUUCCUCAAUUGUUUUGUUCUUAAAUAAAUCUUUUUAACACAGCUGCUAGAAAUGAAAAAUGCUGUAGAUUCAAGAUUUGCAUGCGGAAUGUCUUCGUCACCAAGUUCUUUUUUUGGCAUUAAUCAAUCACCAUAUCAAAUACCAUUUCCUUAAUACACAAGUAAUAUUUUACAAUCUUUGUCAUAGUACUAAGAGAGAAUUAUAUAUAUUUUUACUGCUUCUAGCUGCUGAUCCUUCACGUUUGUCCAUACCAAAAAUCCCAAAUAUUAUUCGUUUUGUCUCAUUAAACACUGAAGCAAGUCUUAUUCGCUACAUAUCACCGACUCGAAAUGUAUGGUAAUAAUCAGUUAUCGGGCCACAAGGCCGCCCCACAAUAAUGCAAACUUGAAGGUCACCCAUGCCUAUAAAAAUGUUGCCACUUGGAACUUUCAGUUCCAAGCAAAUUAACCUCAAGUACGGCGAUUUUACGACUAGUCUAUUUCACUCCCAAUUUCGUUUGAUGUUGCUAUUCCAUAGGCAGGUAGAGAUGGCUAAUGGGUCGUGCUGAUCCGGUCCACUAAAGUAAGGCCCAUACGUGCUUGUGCCGUGCCUAAAUUUUUUUACUUAGGCCCGGUCUGCCACACGUGCCGUGCCUAAGAAAAAAAAUUCAAUAAUUUUUUUUAAUUUUUUAAGAGCGCAUGCUAAGUUGUUAGCGUAUUUUUUUCAAAUCUAUAUACAUUUCUUAGGUAUAUGCCUAUAUUCAAAUUUAAUAUAAUUAAAAAUUUAAAACUCAAGUCCAUAUUUAAUGAUAAUAAACUAAUAAUAGCAAGAAAAUAUAAUAUUAAUUACUAAGUUUAACUUUAUGGUGCGUUUACUUUAUAGAAUAGGAAUAAACUGGAAUGAGAAUAAGUUGGGAAUGUGAAUGUCCUGGAAUGUCAUAGAUGUGUUUACUUGGCAAAAUAAAUGGGAAUGAGAAUUAAUUUACCAAAAUACCCAUAGUAUUAAAUAAUGUAAUUUUCAUUAUAUAGAUACAUGUAUAAAUAUUAUUAUAAAAAUGAUAUUAAUUAAAAAAUAAAAUUAAUAAUAAUAAUAAUAAAAAAUGUUAAUAAUGAUAAUAUUAACAGUAAUUAAAAAUUUAAUAAUAAUAAUAAUAUUAUUAUUAUUAUUAUUAUUAAUGACAUUUAAAAUAAUAAAAUUAAUUGUGAUUUGAAUAAGGGUAAUUUGGAAAAUCUGAAAAAAAUUAGAGGGAUUCAAAAGUAAACAUCUAUUUCAUUCUCAUUCCCAACCCCCCAAUCUCUGCUGUACCGUACAUCCGCCUUGGCCGUACAGCAGAACCCCCCAUGGGAAUGAGAUUCUCAUUCCUUAUUCCCAAAUUACAUUUUACCAAGUAAACAUGAAAUUCAUUCUCAUUCCCUAAACCCUCAAGUAAACACACUAUUAUAGUAUUAGAAUUUUUUUAAUAUUUAACAACAAUAAUAAUAAUAAUAAUUUUUUUUUUGAAAAACAUAACAACAACAUAAUAAUAAAUUUUUCUUAAGAGUUAACUUAAUUAUUAUCUUGGACUUACAUAGAGUCAUAAAUUAUAGUUCACAAUAAUAUUAAUGCAUAUUUAUAAAAUCAUGCUAUCAAUUAUUUAUUUAAUAAAUUUAUAAAUAUAAAUCAAUUAUAGUAUUUUUUAAACUAAGAAUUAAAUGAAUUUAAAAAAUUCAAUUUAAAGUCAUUUGUAAAAUUAUAAAAUUUUAAUUUUACUUUCAUUAAAAAAUAAAACGUACUUAUUUCGAACUUUUUUAUCGUGUCGUGCUUAACCUAUUUUUAAUCGUACCGUGCUUUUAAGGCUUGCGUGCCUAAAAUUCUAAGUCCGACAUGACCCACGUGCAUGCCGUGCCAUGCCACGUGCCAUUCGGCCCAUUGAGCAUCUCUACAGGCAGGUAAUGUUCGUGAACGCAUUACUGAGCUUCUAGGUUUGCUACAUUGCAGUUGCGGACCAAGCUACCAAUUACCUUAUAAUUUGCCCAAUAAAAUUUGUGUGCUGACGCCUUCACAGUGCUGGCUGAUUGCCCAUCAAAAUAUUAACCUAACGUGUCUCCUUGAAAUUUUAGACUCGUUUCUCAACUUGGACUGCAAUAAUAAUCUGAUCGCACUAGCAACGUGGCGUUACGUGAAAGCACGAUAAAUUCAUUUCGGCUCCUUUUUCUUUCAUUUGCCUCUAAUUGAGGCAAAACGCAAGGGGAGAUAUCAAAAGCAGGCAGAUAAGGCGGAUGUACGGUACAGCAGAUUAUUAUUAUUAUUAAUGACAUUUAAAAUAAUAAAAUUAAUUGUGAUUUGAAUAAGGGUAAUUUGGAAAAUCUGAAAAAAAUUAGAGGGAUUCAAAAGUAAACAUCUAUUUCAUUCUCAUUCCCAACCCCCCAUGGGAAUGAGAUUCUCAUUCCUUAUUCCCAAAUUACAUUUUACCAAGUAAACAUGAAAUUCAUUCUCAUUCCCUAAACCCUCAAGUAAACACACUAUUAUAGUAUUAGAAUUUUUUUAAUAUUUAACAACAAUAAUAAUAAUAAUAAUUUUUUUUUUGAAAAAUUAACUUAAUUGUUAACUUGGACUUACAUAGAGUCAUAAAUUAUAGUUCACAAUAAUAUUAAUGCAUAUUUAUAAAAUCAUGCUAUCAAUUAUUUAUUUAAUAAAUUUAUAAAUAUAAAUCAAUUAUAGUAUUUUUUAAACUAAGAAUUAAAUGAAUUUAAAAAAUUCAAUUUAAAGUCAUUUGUAAAAUUAUAAAAUUUUAAUUUUACUUUCAUUAAAAAAUAAAACGUACUUAUUUCGAACUUUUUUAUCGUGUCGUGCUUAACCUAUUUUUAAUCGUACCGUGCUUUUAAGGCUUGCGUGCCUAAAAUUCUAAGUCCGACAUGACCCACGUGCAUGCCGUGCCAUGCCACGUGCCAUUCGGCCCAUUGAGCAUCUCUACAGGCAGGUAAUGUUCGUGAACGCAUUACUGAGCUUCUAGGUUUGCUACAUUGCAGUUGCGGACCAAGCUACCAAUUACCUUAUAAUUUGCCCAAUAAAAUUUGUGUGCUGACGCCUUCACAGUGCUGGCUGAUUGCCCAUCAAAAUAUUAACCUAACGUGUCUCCUUGAAAUUUUAGACUCGUUUCUCAACUUGGACUGCAAUAAUAAUCUGAUCGCACUAGCAACGUGGCGUUACGUGAAAGCACGAUAAAUUCAUUUCGGCUCCUUUUUCUUUCAUUUGCCUCUAAUUGAGGCAAAACGCAAGGGGAGAUAUCAAAAGCAGGCAGAACCAUAUAUGAUUAUAAAUAUCUAUGAUCGUAUAUCGUAAAUUGAAUGUCAAAUCCGAAGUUAAAUCAACAAGUAUGUAACAGCAUCUACACAUUUGGAUUCAUGCCGAAUAUAAUCACCGAUUGCGUACAAUCAUAUAUAUUGACAUAAUGGAUAUUUAGAUAUACACGCACCUCUAUCGCUUGAAGCAUCCCACACAGGCUCCCAGUUUUUCUGUGUGCAAAAGAGAAUAUUUUACAUCUUGCUUCUGUAAUAGACAUAGAAAAUUACAGUAACAGUAUAUCACACACAUAUCAGCUUGCAAUCCACGCUAGCCCUAUGGCAAUUUUGUCCUAUACACAUGUAAAUAUAUCUCAAAGAAAUAGGAUAAUUAAAACCGACCGACACUCUUGAGUCUGACACAAAUUAAGGAUACGAAAAUAUACAGGACAACGCUAUAUGAAGUAGCAUGAAAGAGCGUUUCUAAUUAGUGAUUUAGAAUGGCUUUGAUCCGAUCCCUUUAGGGAGAUGGAGGGUUACUGCCAGCGGCAUAACUAUUUAUGAGAGCCAAGGCGUUGCUUGUCAAAUGUGCAACUUUAAGAAUAUGCCUCCUGAUCAUCGUCUUCGUAUAUCUGUUCAAGGGCCUACCUUGAAGCCCAUCCACGCAAGUAUCUUCAUCCGUUAACGCUGCGCUUACCCAUGUUUGGACAUCACCCAUUGUGAGCCAAAAAUUCGAGUUCCUGAUGUGACCCAGUUCGUCCAUAGAAUCUUGGAGCUCAUCUAUUGAGUCACCGAUCACCUCAAUGCAAUCUGCCACUGCCCCUGCGGUCUCCCUCGGGAUCAUGCCGGGGAAUCUCGACAUCUUGACCAUCAUUCUCGACGUUGAUUUUGUGGCUUUAAGGGUUAUGUUGAGAGCUGUGUUGGCUAAUGUUUUGGGGUUGCUUUUGAUUUUGGCUGCAUAGACUGAGAGUGAGCGGUAGCACAACCUGCGAUAGAUUGUGCCACUACAUGAUGUUCUUAUGUACUCUAUGUUUGAAUUAUCUGAUGGGUUUGAGGCUAAGUUGGUGGAGAAUUGAAGGAGAAUUAUGAGCAGGGCUACUAGUGCAUGCCUCAAAAAUGAACCUUCCAUUCUCUCUCUCUCUCUCUCUCUCUCUCUCUCUCUCUCCAGAAAGAAAUAGAUUCGUAUAGUGAGUUUUGUAGAGUAAGGGUGGCUUUAUAGAAAGAGAGAGGCAGUCAAUUAGCUGCGCUAAUUGUGGAGUAAAAGAAGCCUGAUUUCAGGUAAUGAUUGGAUUGUUAAAUAUAAUUAUAAUAAUAAUCCGAUGGAUAAUUUUUAGAGGCACAAUUUUAGAAUAUAUUUAAAUUUAAUAUAAUCACUUUUAUAUAACAGAAAUUAAUGUAAAACUACAGUACACUUCUAAGAAAAUAUAAUUAUUACACUUGUUAUUUUUCUGUGUGGAGUGAUUUAGGAACACUGGGAACCGCUAAUUAUUCUGUCUCAUAUAAUCAUUAAUUGGGUGUAAAAUUAAGGACCACAGAAGCUACUACUCACUCCAUCACGAGGUAAAAGAACCUUAAUUAUCACUGGUGGCAAAAUUCCAGGGUACAAAAGGAAUAAUGCUCUUUGACGAAUUGGUAGCUCAAGUAAUAAUGCCCUUGGUUUCGCCAAAUUCUUCACAAAUUUCCUUAAAUGUUUUUUUUUUUUUGGCCCUGGAUGGUAAUAUCGUGUGAGUUUAAUAAUAAUAAAAACAGUUAAUAAAUUAGAACUUGGAAAAUGGAGAUUGCUUAUUCUCAUUCAGUAUGAUAUCGUCUCUUUAAUUUGGAAUUGGGAUAGUAUAUAUAUAAUUUUCAAAUAAUUUUGUUUUUAGAUCCUCUCAAAAAGCCACAUAUUGUUUGAGAAAUGACUUACAUGGUCCAAUAACCAGAGAUUAUUAUGACACUCUAACCGUAGGGUUUUACAAUUUACCCUUGUUACCAGAGUGCUUAAUAGGUCUACGGUCAAUAGGUUUGUAUUUGAUACCAUUUUUGUAAUUCCACUCAGUAGAUUUUUCUUUUUCUUUUUUUUUUUAAAGUGGCGCUUUUGAAACUGUUUUUUUUUUAUUAUCUAAAAAGUCUCAUAAGGAUUGCGAAAAUACACUAUAUAUAUAAUAAAUAAAUGAAAACAUAUAAUAAAUAAAUGAUGCUAUGAUAUGUGUAUAUAUUUUUUUAAAAUUAUCAUGUAAGUGAUAGUUAUAUUAAAUUUAAUUAUACAUAUUUAUGUAUAUAUUAAUUAGCUGUAUUUUAAAACUUUUAUUGUUGCGGACUUUUCUGCGAUCCAUUGUGUGAUUUACUCGAUCGGCAAAUUUGCAGCAAAAUACAAAAGCCAGUGCUUCCAAAGUAGUGAAGGAACCAUUUUUCAUUUAAAUGAAUGAUAUACUUAAAUACACAUCGAAGAAGGCUGCAACCAUAUCCAAUAGACGCUGUGGCCGCUUCUCACAUGAGCCAAAAAGAGAAUUCCAUUGGUUUUAUGCAAGGAUUAUGUCCUCGAAUUGAACGAUUCACAAAAACAAGAAAAAUAAAGGUGAUAAUAAAAUUCAAGAAUUGAGCAUAUCAACAGUGUAUGGCCUUCAUAACCAUGUGACAUACGACAAAUAUUACGUCAACGUCUGACUGCUACGUUUGAUUAACCAAAACGCAAAAUGAUUAUGCACGUAAUAAAUAUGGGUUUGGACGCGCACUGCUUGCCAGCUGCAGCUGGGAGGUUUUAUCUAAGGAUGAACUGAGCAGAAAGGCAAGGAAUAGGUUUUAGAUAAGGGUUCGUUAGUUGGAUCAGAUUCUCUUUUGAUUUGAUCAUAUUUUAAGUAAAUAAUUUAAUUAUUAAUUAAUAAUUAAUAAAUAAAAAAAUAAAAAAAAAUUAAAUUUUAUUUAUAUAUUACUAUUAAAAGACACNNNNNNNNNNNNNNNNNNNNNNNNNNNNNNNNNNNNNNNNNNNNNNNNNNNNNNNNNNNNNNNNNNNNNNNNNNNNNNNNCAGCAGAUUAGUUUAUCUAUGUUAGAGUAUAAAUUUUAACUACACAUAUAAGUGAUAAAUAAUAAAUAAUAAGUUAUAAUAAAUUUUUAUUAUUUAUUAAUUUAUAUAUAUAAUUGAGAUUCACGCUCCAUCAUAAAUAAACUCCAAUCAUAAUCUUUAGAUAAUUGGACUAUCAGUGUUUUAUAACAUCACGAAACAACUCUUUAAAUGGAAUUUUCUUACUUAUUUAAACCGACACGUCAAUAAAAAAAAGUUUCUAAAUAAAUUUUCUUGUACGCAUAUAAGAUAGUAAAACAAGCCUACUAAAAAUAAAAAUAAUGAUGAGGAUUGGAAUGAAUCCGGCAUUAUUAUUUUAUUUUUGUCGCAUUUAACACAGGUAUCGAGCGAGGUGGGCCAUUGAUAGCUCCCCAUGAUCAGAUUCCCUUGUUCUCAGAAAUUUCAUAUUUGACAGCUACCCCAUCUUGGUCGAAUAAUUAAUAAAGAAAAUUAGAGACGAUAUUUGCUGAGACUAGCGCUGAGUUUGCUAGCUUUGGAGGAGAGAUCGAACAUCGUAACUUUGGACAGGAGUUGUUGGAGUUUGGGGCUCUGGGCUUGUCCACGUGGGAAGCAAAUCUCGCACAUAAAGAGAUAAGAGAUUUUUAAUAUUUUAGCUGCCGCAAAAAUUUGUCCCCAAGUUGCUUUCACGCGAAUAGAGAGAUUGAUUUUUUGCUUUGGGAUUCUUCUAUAAUGAAAGGCGAUCAUCAAAGUGAUUUAAGUGAGGCUCCCCACCGAUGCGUUUAAGCUUUUUUUUUGUCUCAACUUUCAAACCGACAUGUUUACACUUUAAUGUUCUCAACUUUUGCUUUUUUUUUUUUAAUGAACCUUUGGUCUUGUAGAAGAAUUUUUAUAUUUAUAAUAUUAAAAAUAAGAGUUUGAAUCUUUAUAAAAAUAUUAUAAGGAUUAAUUUUAAUUAUCUUUCAAUUAUUAAAUAAAUUGAAUUGAGAUAAUUUCUUUCUCACGAAAUAUGAAUAGAGUAGAUAUUCUUUAAAUAUUAUAUAAAGUUUAAAGAUGAAGGUCCUAGUUAUAAAAUUUAUUUGUAAAUAUUAAUUGUAAUUUGAGUUUAAAGAAUUUGAGCAGCGCUUUCGAGGAGUACAUGCUACGAUGAAUGUCUUAAUUGUAUAAUCUGUUUGUAAAUAUUAAUUAUAACAUCUACUACGAUGAAAGCCUUAGUUAUAUAAUUUGUUUGUAAAUAUUAAUUGGAUGAAGGUUCCAGUUGUAUAUUCUAUUUAAAACUAUUACUUGUAACAUAUGAUAUAAUAUCAGUAACAGUACUGUAUAUAUAAUAUUUAAAAUAAACUUUUUUUUUUUCAACAUUUUUUAAUAUUUUGGCACGGCUAGAAAGAAGUUAAAUGGAGAAGCGAAGAGGGUCCAUCUCAUUAAUCUUUUCUCGCAACAUGUGUAUAUCCUAAUCCUGCCACUUACUCCCAUGUGCCGCGCGUGCCUAUCUAUUUUUUUAAACCUUUGUAGGCCGUUGUACCCGGCAUUCUUAGCCAUCGCUUUGUCGCUACUUGAAACGUUUUAGCUUUCAUCCAAAAUUAUAUAAUACUUUGACUGAAUGUCGAACUACUCCCCCGUAAAAUAAUAAUAUUUAAAAUACUCUCGAAGUUAUUAUAAAUAUCAAAUUAUUUUAUUUUUAUUGAAAAAAUAAUAAUUUUCACUGACCUCCCCUUAAUAUGCCCACAGUACACUCUAAACUCACAUCGAGCUCCCUUAACUCACACUACACUUGGAUAAAAAUCUCCCUAAUAGGCGUUGAUUGGUGUGACGUGACGUGUGAGCAGCUAGCUGCAUGUUAGCCUCUCGUUAACACGUGUAUUAUUAUUAUUAUUAUUUAAAAGAUCUUUUAGAACAAGAGUAAUUGGGUAUUAAUUGUGAAUAAUUCUUAAACCAAAUAGAAACAUGGAUGUCAAUGAUAAUAACUGAUGCUCAAAUCGAAGGAUCAACGAAAUUAAUACAAAAAUAAAAUUGUAUUUUCAUAAUUAUCUUAUUACAAUCUAUUUAUAUAUAUAUAUAUAUAUAUAUAUAGGACUUGAGGAGGUGAUGUGGCAUCACCAUUUCUCUUCAUCUCAUAUUCUCUAUUAUCUAAUAAAUUGGUUGAAAUUAAAAAAAUAAUUACAUUACAAAAUAUUAAAAUAGAAAAUAAUUAUUAGAUUAUAAAUGAUUACAUGUCUUUUCCUCUUUCUAUUUAAAUUCAACAAUAUGUAACCAUUAAUAAUAAUUAAUUAUAAGUCUUCAAACAUUAAUUUAUUUUAUUAUGCCAACAAUUAAACUUUAGUGGCUUAAAAUACAUCAAUUAAUUAAUAUAGGAAGGAAGGUUCCUUCAUAUUCCCUCAACAAUGCCAUUAGAGCCUAAUUUUAAUGUCAUAAUCUCAUAUUUAAUUAUUCAAUCUUUUGUUUAGUGCCUUUUGGCUUCUUCAAACUCCAUAAACAUUAAGUAUUUAAGAUUUGUGGCAUCAUUAUUUCUCAUCUUUUUAUAUUCUCUAUAAUCUAAUAUAUUGGUUGAGAUUAAAAAAUAAUUACAUUACAAAAUAUUAAAAAUAAAAAAAUAAUUAUUAGAUUAUAAAAGAUUAUGUCUCUUCCUCUUUCUAUUUAAAUUCAAUAAUAUGUAACCAUUAAUAAUAAUUAAUUAUAAGUCUUCAAACAUUAAUUUAUUUUAUUAUGCCAACAAUUAAACUUUAGUGGCUUAAAUAUAUCAAUUAAUUAAUAUAGGAAGGAAUGUCUCUUCAUCUUCCAUCAAUAAUGUCAUUAGGGUCUAAUUUUAAUGCUAUAAUCUCAUAUUUAAUAUGUAACAUUUUGUUUAGUACCUUUUGGUUUCUUCAAACUCUAUAAAUAUUAAGUAGUUAAGAUUUGUGCCAUUAUUAUUUCUCAUCUUUUUAUAUUUCAUUUAUUUUAUUAAGCCAACAACUAAACUUUAGUGGUUUAAAAUAGAUCAACUAAUUAAUAUAGGAAGGAAGGUUCUUUCAUCUUCCCUCACCAAUACCACUAGGACCUAAUUUCAAUGUCAUAAUUUCAUAUUUAAUUAUGCAACCUUUUAUUUAGUGUCUUUUGGCUUCUUCAAACUAUAUAAAUAUUAAGUAUUUAAGAUUUGUUAUGUUUGGAUUUUUUUUUAAUUUAACCAACAUCCUCUUUAGAAAUGUUCUUGUGUUUUUUUUUUGACUUAUUUAAUUUUUUUGUAUUGUGUGCUUCAUAGAGUAUUAUUUUCUUCAUGAGUUAAACAAUGAUAAAGAUAGUUGGAUGAUAAGGGUUAGGCUUUGUAAAAUGUAGGAGUCUGUUAAUACCAAGAAGAAUUGAGAGUUGAUUAGUGUGAACAUAAUUUUUAUUGAUGAAAAAGUUGUUUACAUUUAACUAUACACAUUAAUAUAUUUUUUUAAAGUUAACAAAAAAAUAAUUAACUUUCAUAAAUAACAUUAGUUUUAUAAGGCUGCGUCAUCUUUAAAAGAAAAUCAAUUCAUAUUUUUUAUCAGUUUUAUCAAGUGUAAAGUAAUAAAAAAAAUAAUACUAAAUUAUUUUUUUAAAGCCGCACGAAGUGCGGUUCUAUUUCCUAGUGUAGUUAUAAAAUUCUCUCCUCAAAUGCAUUAAGCGAAACAAUUAAAUAUUCCAUUUAUUUGUAAUUUUUUCUAUUACAGUUGUUUGGCCAUGCUUUGAGCAUUUGUGGACAUUGUGGAGGAUUACUUUUGAGAUUUGUAAUUUGCGUUUGGUAAUUUCAUCGAGAUGUUUCACUUAAAAAAAAAAAAAAAGGGUUCUAAUGGUUGAAAAAAUUGGGACAACUAAAAGGAUAUGUCAAUCGAUUGCCCAUAAUCCAUUCAACAUAAUACUUUAAACAAAUAUAAUUUUUUUAUUAAAUAAUAAACAUCCCAAUUGCUUUGUUGAUGUUAUUUAGGAAAUUAAUGAAGAGAGAGAACUAUUAAUGGAAAUGAUUUUUAUGAUUGGUCAUAAUGAACUAAUUAAUGUUAAUAAUAAAAUAAAUUGUUAGUGUGUGUAUAUAAUCUUCCUCUCGUGUGAGCGCUUUUUUUUUGUUUUCAAAUACACUAAUAAGUUAUUUAGUUUAAUAGAGUUAAUGUUCAAUUAAUUAUAAAAUCAUAUAGUUUAAUAACAUAUCCGUAUUAAAAAAAAUGAGAAUGCUCACACGUAAGUUUGUGUGUGUGUGUGGAUAUAUAUUUGGAUGGCAGAACUCAACAUUUUAUCACGAACAAAGAGAGACGUGAUAUUAAUUUUUUUAAAUUAGGUUACAAGAUUGACCUUGAUGAUAACGGUCAAAGCAAAGUUUAGUUAAGUCCAAGGGAGGUCAAUGUGAAAUUGGCCAUAAAAUCUGUUUCAAGUGUGAGUUAGACAUAGUUGAGGAGAGGAUAGUGAAAAUUACCCACCAAAAGAUAAAAGAAAAAUGAGAAUGAGUUGAUAAUUUUUUUUCCCUAAACAAAAUUACCAUACAAAAUGAGAGAUAAGUUGAGUUUAUAAUACUUUAGUAGAGAUUGCCAUUUCAUGAGAAAUAAUCCCAAAUUAAUCUUUAUCCUAAUAAUAAUAAUAAUAAUAAUGAGUUGCCACUUGCCAGGAUAACGAUUUAUUUUUGUUUUUGUUUUCAUUUUCAUUUUUUUAAUGAACCAAAAGUCGAGGUGUCAUAUUUCUCACAGAAUUUGUCAUCUGUGAACAAGCCAUUUCUUGUUGUUGCUUCGCCGAUUCUAAGGCUUUGAUAUAAAAAAUUGCCUGAAUUAAUUAUUGCUUUAGGAGAAUAAAGAUGUGUAUGUGACGUGGCAAGUCAAAGAUAAUGAGAUUUGGUCGAUUGUUUCGUCUGCGGUCAGGUAAAGUAGUUAGUAAUCCAUAAGUUUUGUCAAAAGGAAGUUGUAAUCAUGGACCUGUCUAUGGUACAGAUUCUGUAACAAACAUCUCCCGUCAUCCCACCAUCCGAUUUUCUAUUGUUUAGUUUCUCACUCCACAUCCAACCACAUCCAACGGCUGAUGCUGCAGUCUGUAGCUUACAGAUUCUGUAAGCUAGUCAAGUCCUGUAAUCAUAACCAUGUCGAAAACGAACGGUCCAUGCUUUUUAUUCAAAUUUAUUUUGUUAAUUAUGCCCGCAGAUUCCGGGCGGACCGUCCUUGACCGCUAAGUUAGGUACUUGUCGUUGAAAUAGACAUUAAUAUAAUUAAUUUAAGAAAAUUAUAUAAAUUUUAUUACAAGGCUAAUGCCUAAUUGUGAUUGUCGAUUGUUAUCAAACGACUCGUAUCACAGUUUUUGCUGGUUUUAUGCGUCGUGACGCAACUGAUUUUUUGAAGUGGAGCUUCUAAAGUUUGGAUUUAUCUUGUACCCCCCUCGAGGAAAAAAAAAAGAAAAAGAAGAAAAGAAAAGUAUGACGAUAAGUGCUACUGAAAAGAGCUAAAUAGGCAUUCGAUUGAUUUAAUCUAAAUCGAUCUAAUUUUUGUUGGAUUGACCUUUAAUCGAAUUGGAUUGGAUUGUAAAAUAAAAAUUCAAUGUUAUUAGAUUGAUUUAUGUAUCAACGUGUUAAAAUCCAAUACAACCAAUUAAUUUUUAUUUUCUUUAUUUAUUUUUUAAAAGAGCCAUUCGUUAUUUUUAUAUUUAACUUACUAAAAGAAAUAAAACCUAAUUUUUUUAUAACUAUAAAUAUACAAUAAUAAUACAAUGUACAAACUACAAGUUACAACCAAUGUUUACAUUCAAAUUUCAAUUAUUUUUUUCAACCAUGUAAUAAAAAAAAAAUUUCAAUUAUUUUUUUCAACCAUGUAAUCCAAUGUUUACAUUCAAAUUUCAAUUAUUUUUUUCAACCAUGUAAUAAAAAAAAAAACACAUGAAUCAUGAAAUUUUAAAGGAGUCGACUUUUUUUCUUCAAUUGUUAGUGGUUAGAACUCUUAAGAGCAAUUAACGAUGAUUAUUUAUAAAUUUUUAUUCUAAUUAGAUUAAUCGGAUGAGAUUGAAUUGGAUUUAACUUUAUUAAUUUGAAUUAUAUUGAAUUUCAAUCAACGACCGGAUGGGAUUGAAUUUAAAAUAUAAAAUUUAAUAUAAAAUAAAUUGGACUUAAAUUUAACCAAAUCCAGUGAAUUUAAAUCAUUAAACAACCCUAGUUCUUACCACUUACUAAAGUGGCUUUUUGUGUGUGUAUAUUAUAUAUAAUAUAAAAGUUUUACCGCUUCAAAUAGGACCGUCACUCUCAUCUAUGUACGGUACUCCCAUAUCCAAACUCGAUAAAAGUUCAAUUUCCAUGGAUCACCUAAAUAUUUAUUUAUAUCCGUUUAUUUAAAUGCUCUCUGUCUCACUUCCAUUUGCAAUUUUAUUUUAUUUUAUUUUUAGAUAUAUUAUUUUCUCUGGACUGGACAGAGAAGGAUCUACUGGCCGAGAGGAAUUAGCAAUUACGGGGAGUUGGGCUUGUGGCAAAUGAAACUGAAAAAAGGUUUAUGUGCUCCCUGCAAUUCAAGAGGGAUAUUAUGCUUAACACAAUUAUACAGGAAACAAGACACGGAUAAUCUUCAAAGCAAUAGUUGGCACACUCUUUAGCUUCAUUUAGUUUUAUUUUAUUUAAACAAAACUCAAGUAUCUUAAAAGAGGGAAAAAAAACAACAACAACAGCAGCAGCAGCAGCAGAACACAAACUCUUAUGUUUAGAUACUGACUGUACUUUUUGUUGGUUGCCCAGAAAACCAAACUUUCUUAUAUAAGACAGAAACUAGACUAAGCACGAACCUAAGGGAUAUCAUAUUGAGAUACCAUAUUAUACAGAAGACAGCAGAGGUCACCUUAGACGAAAUCUAAGGCUUCUCGGUGACUGCUGCAGCUUGGUGCCUAGCGGCGAAUCGAUUAACCAAAGCAAGAGCGUUACUAGUGACUUGGGCAACAUUUGUGACCCUUCUCCUGAUCGCAGCCUUUACAUUUCCAUCCAUGAAACGACCAUCAAAACCAUCUAAGCAAGUGUUCUC
This 34422-nucleotide long non-coding RNA is filed under the name Citrus sinensis (sweet orange). RNAcentral describes it as "long non-coding RNA (CSIN_LNC001956)". The record is from RNAcentral. Lineage: Eukaryota; Viridiplantae; Streptophyta; Magnoliopsida; Sapindales; Rutaceae.